Molecule: long non-coding RNA, 760 nt
Filed under: Salvia miltiorrhiza (redroot sage)
Lineage: Eukaryota; Viridiplantae; Streptophyta; Magnoliopsida; Lamiales; Lamiaceae
Description: long non-coding RNA (SMIL_LNC010033)
Source: RNAcentral
CUUAAAAUAAUUUCAUUUUCUAUUAUACAUUCUGAUCCUCUUUUGAAACCCUAAUGCAUCUCUCUCAAUUUCUUAUCCACCGUGAGCGCUCUCUUUCUCUCUCUCAGGCUCAUGCUAUCCUUCGCGCCUCCACCAUCCACCACCACAUCCAUCUUCCUUCAUCUCCGUCAUCUGCCACUCCCUACCAGCCCGUCACCUCUUCCCUCCUCAAACCUUGAGCUGCUUCGACUCCCCACGAUCUUCUGCUGCCAUCCGUCGUCACCUGCUUCGCCUCCGAGUGAACCCUAGCACCGGUGUGGCGCCAGAUCUAAGUUUAGGCGUCGAACUUAGUUUUGUCCAAGAUAUGAGUUUCUCCAGUUUCUUUGGUGGCGUCGAUCUGACUUUCUCCACUUCGCGCCUCCACUGUCUCCCUCCCCCUCCACCGUCGCGCUUCCAUCCCAUUUUGAGUAAAACUAUAGAAGCGGCCCGACGGCGGACUGAGUGUGUGAGCAGUCGUCCAUGGAGUAAUGGAACUUCGAAUUUUUGAUUUUUUUUUGUGGGUUUCGUUGAUUUUGUUCUAGGUUUCGUUGUUCUUGAUCUUCGUUAAUUUUUUAUCUUUGGUGACGCCACUGUUGAUUUAGUUCCGGGUUUCGUUGAUUUCGUUCUUGUUCUUGAUCUCAUUCUUGUUCUUGAUCUCAUUCUUGAUUUUGUUCUUGUUCUGGAUCUUCAAUUUUGUUUAGGAUAUAUUUAUGGAGUUUUUAUUAUUGCUUGGUGAAUUUCA